GUACCUAACAAAUGUUAUUCAUGUUCUCCUCAACUUUCACUAUAUAUAUACGCAUAUUGAUAUUAGCAUGAUUAUGCGAGACUUACUUUAAAAGUUUCGUAACUUUAUCCAUUUCUAAAACUCAAAUUCUCAAGUUUUGAUUGAAAUCGACUAUAAGGAUCACCGUACAACCUUCAAAAAUAAUGAUCAAACUCAUGCAGCAUAUACAGUAAGCUAUAUAUAUAAGAUCCAAGAAUGACAAACUGUGAAACAAUUCAAAGAAGUAGGCCAACAGCAUAAUUUAUGCUAAAAUCCCUAGUCCUGUUUGUAUAAAACUGGUGGUGAACUGACAGUAGGUUCAUUCCCCUCCCCCCUCUUCAUCAAAAAAAAAAAAAAAAACCCUCAUCAGUGAUUAAUUCCAAAAUAUCUGUUUCAGAAAAGACGUAUAAAAAAUAUUUGCUUAGGUAAAAGUUAGUAUAAAACAAAACAAAAAAAACGAAUGACGACUGUACUUUGACACUAUUAAUUCAUAGCAACCCAAAUUGAUAAAGAUAAAAUAGAUUACAAACAUCUCCUAAUAGAGAUUUGUUUUUGCAACAACAGAACCUGUUGCUAAAAAUACAAAACAUAAAAAAAAACCCAAACCACACCAAAACAACAUGCAAUAUAUAUACAUAUGUAUAUAUACAUAUGUAUAUCUAUGGGUAAAUUAAUAACUGUACAAUGUGGACCUCUUUUUGUUACAUUUCUAUGCAUUUUUGAAAAUUCCAAACUAAUGACCUCACUUCUCUAAGAAACCUAAACCAA
RNAcentral lists this long non-coding RNA (786 nucleotides) under Mytilus galloprovincialis (Mediterranean mussel). The record is from RNAcentral. Lineage: Eukaryota; Metazoa; Mollusca; Bivalvia; Mytilida; Mytilidae.